This 628-nucleotide ribosomal RNA is filed under the name uncultured bacterium. RNAcentral's name for it is "bacterial SSU rRNA". It matches the Rfam family "Bacterial small subunit ribosomal RNA", at positions 56 to 721 of the family's 1533-position model. The record is from RNAcentral.
UGCAGUCGUACGAGAAGGUUCCUUCGGGAACUGGAGAGUGGCGCACGGGUGAGUAACGCGUGGGGACCUACCUCUUAGUGGGGGAUAACGGUUGGAAACGACCGCUAAUACCGCAUACGCCCUUCGGGGGAAAGAUUUAUCGCUAAGAGAUGGACCCGCGUUGGAUUAGAUAGUUGGUGAGGUAAUGGCUCACCAAGUCGGCGAUCCAUAGCUGGUUUGAGAGGAUGAUCAGCCACACUGGGACUGAGACACGGCCCAGACUCCUACGGGAGGCAGCAGUGGGGAAUAUUGGACAAUGGGGGCAACCCUGAUCCAGCCAUGCCGCGUGAGUGAAGAAGGCCUUCGGGUUGUAAAGCUCUUUCAGAUGCGAAGAUGAUGACGGUAACAUCAGAAGAAGCCCCGGCUAAUUUCGUGCCAGCAGCCGCGGUAAUACGAAAGGGGCAAGCGUUGUUCGGAUUUACUGGGCGUAAAGGGCACGCAGGCGGUUAUAUAAGCUAGAUGUGAAAGCCCCGGGCUCAACCUGGGAAUAGCAUUUAGAACUGUAUGACUAGAGUCUUGGAGAGGGGAGUGGAAUUCCAGGUGUAGCGGUGAAAUGCGUAGAUAUCUGGAGGAACAUCAGUGGCGAAGG